AGAGUUUGAUCAUGGCUCAGAGCGAACGCUGGCGGCAGGCCUAACACAUGCAAGUCGAACGGAUCCUUCGGGAUUAGUGGCGGACGGGUGAGUAACACGUGGGAACGUGCCUUUUGGUUCGGAACAACUCAGGGAAACUUGAGCUAAUACCGGAUGUGCCCUUCGGGGGAAAGAUUUAUCGCCAUUAGAGCGGCCCGCGUCUGAUUAGCUAGUUGGUGAGGUAAAGGCUCACCAAGGCUACGAUCAGUAGCUGGUCUGAGAGGAUGAUCAGCCACACUGGGACUGAGACACGGCCCAGACUCCUACGGGAGGCAGCAGUGGGGAAUCUUGCGCAAUGGGCGAAAGCCUGACGCAGCCAUGCCGCGUGAAUGAUGAAGGUCUUAGGAUUGUAAAAUUCUUUCAGCAGGGACGAUAAUGACGGUACCUGCAGAAGAAGCCCCGGCUAACUUCGUGCCAGCAGCCGCGGUAAUACGAAGGGGGCUAGCGUUGCUCGGAAUUACUGGGCGUAAAGGGCGCGUAGGCGGGUCGUUUAGUUAGAGGUGAAAGCCCCAGGGGCUUAACCCCCGGAAUUGCCUUUAAUACUGGCGGCCUUGAGUAUGAGAGAGGUGUGUGGAACUCCGAGUGUAGAGGUGAAAUUCGUAGAUAUUCGGAAGAACACCAGUGGCGAAGGCGACACACUGGCUCAUUACUGACGCUGAGGCGCGAAAGCGUGGGGAGCAAACAGGAUUAGAUACCCUAGUAGUCC
Molecule: ribosomal RNA, 745 nt
Filed under: uncultured bacterium
Lineage: Bacteria
Description: bacterial SSU rRNA
Rfam family: Bacterial small subunit ribosomal RNA
Source: RNAcentral